This 76-nucleotide microRNA precursor is filed under the name Chlorocebus sabaeus (green monkey). Its description in RNAcentral is "miRNA (ENSCSAG00000024116.1)". The record is from RNAcentral. Lineage: Eukaryota; Metazoa; Chordata; Mammalia; Primates; Cercopithecidae.
AGGUGCACGCCCUAGGUGGGAUUCCAAUAUUGGGCCAAUCCCCCGAAUAUUGGAAUCCCACCUAGAGCGUGCACUU